Molecule: long non-coding RNA, 2210 nt
Organism: Saimiri boliviensis boliviensis (Bolivian squirrel monkey)
Lineage: Eukaryota; Metazoa; Chordata; Mammalia; Primates; Cebidae
Source: RefSeq, a predicted model, not a curated record
GGCAGGGCCCGGGUUCGGGCAGGGCCCGGGCGUGCGGUGACCACCCCUGCCAGCCUUUUCCACAGGGGGGCCUGCGCUGGGCCCUGGGACCACCGUGAGGUCCCCACCUGAGCCCAGGCAGGGGACAGAGUGAGAGCGGUCCCUGGUAGGGCUGUGUCUGGAAUCCCCACUCCCCACCCUGGUCACAGCCUGGCAGCCAGGGCCAGGGCCCCUCCUGGAGGGGAGGUGCAGGCUGGGCUGGGGAGACCACCCUGGGCUCUGGGGCUGGGCCCCCUUCAGAGCUGUCCCGGAAGGGGGCGGAGCAGUUGCGGGUGAGGCCCCUCUUCAGCCCGUUUGCAAAGGCUUUAGCCCCUUCCCCGGAGCAGAGGGUCCCUGGGCUGCCCGGUGGCCCUCGGCCCUGCGUGAAUGCCCUCUGGUCUUCAGGGCCUUCUCUCUCUGCCCCUGAGGACAGGCCUUCUCUCAUCUGUCUCCUUUCCUGGUGGAUGGUAGGGUGGCUGGGGUGGGGGUCUGUGGUGGUGUCUUGUGCUCGAAGUGUGCCCAGGCAGUGGGGAACUUCCCAGUGUAAGGAGGAGAAAGCCACCGUCCACUGGAUGCCUGAGAGCUCGUCCCCAAAUCCCCCUGCCUGCCGUCCGCAGGGCCUGCAAGGUCCACCGCGGCCGCAGCCUCCAGUCUGUCCUGGUGUCUGGACUCGGGCUGGACCACCUUACAGCUCGUGCCAGCUGUGCCUGCACCACCUUUUAUGGCCCACACCUCCCACGGCAGCGUCAGAGUGUUUGGGUGCAGCAGGCCGCGGAGGGGCACUGAGGUAAUCCGGCCUCAACCAGCAUUCCCAGGACCCGAGGCCCCUCUGACCCUGAGCAGGCUGCAGGCUGCCCCACGGACAGCAUCCUUCAGCACCACAAAGCGCACGGCUGAGCUGUGCAGUGCUAACUGAAGGGAUCCCACGAAUGUCAUGCAACUCAGUUCUCUGCUGGCUCAGGAAGGUCCCACUAACAAGCACUUUGGUGGUCGACACUACCUGUUUGUGAUGUGAGAAUGCCAGUAUUCCAGGAGAACGAGAGCAGAAGCUGCAAAGAUUCUUGUGAUCUGGGCCCAGAAGUCAUAAUACAUUGCUUUGCCGUGUUUCGUUGGUCAAAGCAAGUGACAAGGCCAGCCAGGAUUCAAUGGAGAAGCAGUUUCCAGCUCCCAAUGAGAAGAGUCGCCGCAAAGAUUUUGUGACCCUUUUCCGUCCACCACCACCACCACCAUCACCAUUUCCCAUUCCCAUAACCUUUGUCUAUCCCCACCGCCCUCUCCUGAUUGGAUCAUAGAAAGAUGUAGCCUCUGAUCUUAAAGGUCAGGCUAUGCAGCUGAAGACAUACAUAUUUGUGAUGGGUGGAUAAGGGCGUUGUAAAUCUCUGAACAUGCUCCUCACUGGCACUGAAAAACUCUCCUGAAGGAGAAAGGAUAGGAAUCCUGGGUGACUGCCACCUCCUAUCUUGGAGGCAGGGCUCCGCCUGACAUGGGAGAAGGCUGUGUUCCCCUGUUUGAUAGGUGCAUGUUUACAGGGAAUGUUCUUUGCCUUUUGUUAUUAAUUUUAAUAUUUUACUAGUGAUUGGUAUUAAAUUGUUAUGAUACUAUUGUUUAUUUUUGAGAAGAUAAUGCAUGUUCACUGUGCAAAAUUCAAAAGGCACAAAAGGGUAUAAGGUGAAAGGGCCUCCUGCUGGCCCUUCCUGCAAGGCUGGAGUGGGGGAGAGUGACUUUCCUGUUCACUGGUGCAGCUGUGGCUGGCUUCUACCCACGCUGUCUGGAGACAUCAGUUUCUCACUACAGCUCCCCAUGUGCAAUACAGAGACCUGAUUGCCCCAGGGUGGGAGCUGUGAGAGAGAAAGCUGGCACGAGAGGGUGAGAGAUGGAGAUGGUGGCCCAGCAGGACAGAGGCAAACAACUUUUUUAGGCCAGUCUUUGAAUGACAUCCCAUCCCUUUUGCUGUAAUCUCUGUGUUAGCAGUGAGGCACUACAUCCAGCCUUCACUCAGGUGGAGAAUACCGGGAGGCGGCACCGUUGGGGGCCAUUGUAGAGACUGCCUGGUGUGGGUCUGUUAGCAAUACGUUUUCUGUUUCCACUUGUCUCAACAGCCUUUUAUUUAACCGCCAGUUUUGAAAGAUCGUUCCCUAGGUAAGAAUUCCAACUUAGCAGUUACUUUCUUUUGAUAUUCUGAAGAUGACAUU